AGAGUUUGAUCCUGGCUCAGAAUGAACGCUGGCGGCGUGCUUAACACAUGCAAGUCGAACGAUGAAGCCCAGCUUGCUGGGUGGAUUAGUGGCGCACGGGUGAGUAAUAUAUAGAUAACGUGCCUCUUAGUCUGGGAUAGCCAUUGGAAACGAUGAUUAAUACCGGAUACUCCUUCUAACUCUAAUGUUAGUCGGGAAAGUUUUUCGCUAAGAGAUCGGUCUAUAUCCCAUCAGCUUGUUGGUAGUGUAAGAGACUACCAAGGCUAUGACGGGUAGCGGGUUUGAGAGGAUGAUCCGCCACACUGGUACUGAGACACGGACCAGACUCCUACGGGAGGCAGCAGUGAGGAAUAUUGCACAAUGGAGGAAACUCUGAUGCAGCAACGCCGCGUGGAGGAUGACGCAUUUCGGUGUGUAAACUCCUUUUAUAUGUCAAGAAAAUGACGGUAGCAUAUGAAUAAGCACCGGCUAACUCCGUGCCAGCAGCCGCGGUAAUACGGAGGGUGCAAGCGUUAUUCGGAAUCACUGGGCGUAAAGGACGCGUAGGCGGGUUGGAAAGUCAGAUGUGAAAUCCUACAGCUUAACUGUAGAACUGCAUUUGAAACUUCUAAUCUAGAGUAUGGGAGGGGGAGAUGGAAUUAGUGGUGUAGGGGUAAAAUCCGUAGAUAUCACUAGGAAUACCGAAAGCGAAAGCGAUCUCCUGGAAC
RNAcentral lists this ribosomal RNA (707 nucleotides) under uncultured bacterium. RNAcentral's name for it is "bacterial SSU rRNA". It matches the Rfam family "Bacterial small subunit ribosomal RNA", at positions 8 to 735 of the family's 1533-position model. The record is from RNAcentral.